AUACGGAGGUUGCAAGCGUUGUUCGGAAUUAUUGGGCGUAAAGAGCAUGUAGGCGGACUGUUAAGUCUGGUGUGAAAGCCCGGGGCUCAACCCCGGAAGUGCAUUGGAUACUGGCAGUCUUGAGUAUGGGAGAGGAAAGUGGAAUUCCGAGUGUAGGAGUGAAAUCCGUAGAUAUUCGGAGGAACACCAGUGGCGAAGGCGGCUUUCUGGACCAAUACUGACGCUGAGAUGCGAAAGCGUGGGGAGCGAACAGGAUUAGAUACCCUUGUAGUCC
RNAcentral lists this ribosomal RNA (274 nucleotides) under uncultured bacterium. RNAcentral's name for it is "partial 16S ribosomal RNA". It matches the Rfam family "Bacterial small subunit ribosomal RNA", at positions 523 to 796 of the family's 1533-position model. The record is from RNAcentral.